This 1450-nucleotide ribosomal RNA is filed under the name uncultured organism. Its description in RNAcentral is "SSU rRNA". It matches the Rfam family "Bacterial small subunit ribosomal RNA". The record is from RNAcentral.
CUAUCUACAGGCUUAACACAUGCAAGUCGAGGGGCAUCAGGAAGAAAGCUUGCUUUCUUUGCUGGCGACCGGCGCACGGGUGAGUAACACGUAUCCAACCUGCCCUUUACUCGGGGAUAGCCUUUCGAAAGAAAGAUUAAUACCCGAUGGCAUAAUGAUUCCGCAUGGUUUCAUUAUUAAAGGAUUCCGGUAAAGGAUGGGGAUGCGUUCCAUUAGGUUGUUGGUGAGGUAACGGCUCACCAAGCCUUCGAUGGAUAGGGGUUCUGAGAGGAAGGUCCCCCACAUUGGAACUGAGACACGGUCCAAACUCCUACGGGAGGCAGCAGUGAGGAAUAUUGGUCAAUGGGCGCUAGCCUGAACCAGCCAAGUAGCGUGAAGGAUGAAGGCUCUAUGGGUCGUAAACUUCUUUUAUAUAAGAAUAAAGUGCAGUAUGUAUACUGUUUUGUAUGUAUUAUAUGAAUAAGGAUCGGCUAACUCCGUGCCAGUAGCCGCGGUAAUACGGAGGAUCCGAGCGUUAUCCGGAUUUAUUGGGUUUAAAGGGAGCGUAGGUGGACUGGUAAGUCAGUUGUGAAAGUUUGCGGCUCAACCGUAAAAUUGCAGUUGAUACUGUCAGUCUUGAGUACAGUAGAGGUGGGCGGAAUUCGUGGUGUAGCGGUGAAAUGCUUAGAUAUCACGAAGAACUCCGAUUGCGAAGGCAGCUCACUGGACUGCAACUGACACUGAUGCUCGAAAGUGUGGGUAUCAAACAGGAUUAGAUACCCUGGUAGUCCACACAGUAAACGAUGAAUACUCGCUGUUUGCGAUAUACAGUAAGCGGCCAAGCGAAAGCAUUAAGUAUUCCACCUGGGGAGUACGCCGGCAACGGUGAAACUCAAAGGAAUUGACGGGGGCCCGCACAAGCGGAGGAACAUGUGGUUUAAUUCGAUGAUACGCGAGGAACCUUACCCGGGCUUAAAUUGCAGUGGAAUGAUGUGGAAACAUGUCAGUGAGCAAUCACCGCUGUGAAGGUGCUGCAUGGUUGUCGUCAGCUCGUGCCGUGAGGUGUCGGCUUAAGUGCCAUAACGAGCGCAACCCUUAUCUUUAGUUACUAACAGGUUAUGCUGAGGACUCUAGAGAGACUGCCGUCGUAAGACGUGAGGAAGGUGGGGAUGACGUCAAAUCAGCACGGCCCUUACGUCCGGGGCUACACACGUGUUACAAUGGGGGGUACAGAAGGCAGCUAGCGGGUGACCGUAUGCUAAUCCCAAAAGCCUCUCUCAGUUCGGAUCGAAGUCUGCAACCCGACUUCGUGAAGCUGGAUUCGCUAGUAAUCGCGCAUCAGCCACGGCGCGGUGAAUACGUUCCCGGGCCUUGUACACACCGCCCGUCAAGCCAUGGGAGCCGGGGGUACCUGAAGUACGUAACCGCAAGGAUCGUCCUAGGGUAAAACUGGUGACUGGGGCUAAGUCGU